CGUGCCCUACGGGGGGCAGCAGUGGGGAAUAUUGGGCAAUGGGCGCAAGCCUGACCCAGCAACGCCGCGUGAAGGAAGAAGGCUUUCGGGUUGUAACUUCUUUUCUCAGGGACGAAGCAAGUGACGGUACCUGAGGAAUAAGCCACGGCUAACUACGUGCCAGCAGCCGCGGUAAUACGUAGGUGGCAAGCGUUAUCCGGAUUUACUGGGUGUAAAGGGCGCGUAGGCGGGAAAGCAAGUCAGAUGUGAAAACCACGGGCUCAACCUGUGGCCGGCAUUUGAAACUGUUUUUCUUGAGUACUGGG
Molecule: ribosomal RNA, 305 nt
Filed under: uncultured bacterium
Lineage: Bacteria
Description: bacterial SSU rRNA
Rfam family: Bacterial small subunit ribosomal RNA
Source: RNAcentral